This 130-nucleotide non-coding RNA is filed under the name Palpitomonas bilix. The record is from RNAcentral.
CCGCGCAAGUGUACGCUGCAACUGCAGAGGAAAGAGAAAGAAGAAAAAAAAAGAAGAAGAGUGCAGAGAAAAGACAACAAGGAGGUUUUCUUGGUGCUAUUUCUACUUGUUUUGUGUUUUCCCAUUCUUC